AUAAUACUCCCUCCGUCCAACAAAACAUGUCUCAAGUUUGUCAAAAUUUGGAUGUAUUUAGACAUAACUUAGUGUAUAAAUGCAUUCAAAUUUAGUGAAAGUGGAGACAUCCUUUGUUGGACAGAGAGAGUAUGUC
Non-coding RNA from Brachypodium distachyon (stiff brome), 136 nucleotides. The record is from Rfam. NCBI's taxonomy places the organism in Eukaryota, Viridiplantae, Streptophyta, Magnoliopsida, Poales, Poaceae.